RNAcentral lists this ribosomal RNA (1971 nucleotides) under seawater metagenome. Its description in RNAcentral is "bacterial LSU rRNA". It matches the Rfam family "Bacterial large subunit ribosomal RNA", at positions 1 to 1976 of the family's 2925-position model. The record is from RNAcentral.
UCAAGCGCGAAAAGGGCGUUUGGUGAAUGCCUUGGCAGUAAGAGGCGAUGAAAGACGUGAUACUCUGCGAUAAGUCAUGGGGAGCUGAGAAUAAGCUUUGAUCCAUGAAUUUCUGAAUGGGGCAACCCACCUGAUACUUUGUUAUUGUUAGCCCGGUUCAAUCCUCGGAUUGAACCUCCAGGUUAUCAAUAAUGAGGUAAACCAGGUAUUUUUAACCUGAAUACAUAGGGUUAAAAAGGCAAACCCGGGGAACUGAAACAUCUAAGUACCCGGAGGAAAGGAAAUCAAUAUGAUACUCCCCUAGUAGCGGCGAGCGAACGGGGACCAGCCGAGCCUUGAGUGUGAGAAGAACAUGUUGGGAAGCAUGGCCAUAGCGGGUGAUAGCCCCGUAUUCUAAGCAUGAUAGGACGUAUUAAGUAGGGCGGAACACGUGAAAUUCUGUCUGAAGAUCGGAGGACCACCUUCGAAGGCUAAGUACUCCUUACUGACCGAUAGUGAACCAGUACCGUGAGGGAAAGGUGAAAAGCACCCCGACGAGGGGAGUGAAACAGUACCUGAAACCGAACGCCUACAAUCAGUUGGAGGGCCCUUGAGGCCUGACAGCGUACCUUUUGUAUAAUGGGUCAUCGACUUGGUCUCACAAGCAAGCUUAAGCCGUUAGGUGUAGGCGCAGCGAAAGCGAGUCUUAAUAGGGCGAAUGAGUUUGUGGGAUCAGACCCGAAACCGAGUGAUCUUGGCAUGGCCAGGUUGAAGGUGCAGUAACAUGCACUGGAGGACCGAACCCACAUCUGUUGAAAAAGAUCGGGAUGAGCUGUGCCAAGGGGUGAAAGGCCAAUCAAACUCGGAGAUAGCUGGUUCUCUGCGAAAUCUAUUUAGGUAGAGCGUCAUCCGAAUACCCCGGGGGGUAGAGCACUGGAUGGGCAAUGGGGGCAUACAGCCUUACUGACCCUAACCAAACUCCGAAUACCCGGGAGUACUAGAUGGCAGACACACUGCGGAUGCUAACGUCCGUAGUGAAGAGGGAAACAACCCUGACCUCCGGCUAAGGCCCCUAAUUCAUGGCUAAGUGGGAAAGCAGGUGGGACGACCAAAACAACCAGGAGGUUGGCUUAGAAGCAGCCAUCCUUUAAAGAUAGCGUAACAGCUCACUGGUCUAAAUAAGUUGUCCUGCGGCGAAGAUGUAACGGGGCUCAAGCCAUGAGCCGAAGCCGAGGAUGCACAUAGUGCAUGGUAGCAGAGCGUAGUGUGACAUAGUUCCAUGUCUCUUUUGUUUAAGCGGAUCGUCUGGUCCUUGGGUGCUCCGGCGCUCAAGUAGCCGAAUAGGCGGUAGCGCGAAUAACGGAGACACGGAGCUUUCGAUGAAGCCGGGGCGUAAGCCAUCCGGUGGAGAGAUCACUAGUGAGAAUGAUGACAUGAGUAGCGACAAAGAGUGUGAGAGACACUCUCGCCGAAAAUCCAAGGGUUCCUGCUUAAAGCUAAUCUGAGCAGGGUAAGCCGACCCCUAAGGCGAGGCCGAAAGGCGUAGUCGAUGGGAACCAGGUUAAUAUUCCUGGGCCAGGAAGUGGUGACGGAUCUCGAAGGUAGUUCAUCCUUAUUGGAUUGAAUGGGCUGCUUAGAGGUUCCUGGAAAUAGCCCUUCCAUGAGAUCGUACCCUAAACCGACACAGGUGGAUAGGUAGAGAAUACCAAGGCGCUUGAGAGAACUAUGUUGAAGGAACUCGGCAAAAUACCUCCGUAAGUUCGCGAGAAGGAGGCCCGGUUUCUACGCAAGUGGAAGCUGGGGGCACAAACCAGGGGGUGGCGACUGUUUAUUAAAAACACAGGGCUCUGCGAAGUCGUAAGACGACGUAUAGGGUCUGACGCCUGCCCGGUGCCUGAAGGUUAAAAGGAGGGGUGAGAGCUCUGAAUUGAAGCCCAGGUAAACGGCGGCCGUAACUAUAACGGUCCUAAGGUAGCGAAAUUCCUUGUCGGG